UUCCCUUCUUCCCCUUUCCACAUAGUGGUGGUUAGAUGGCUGUGUUAUAAUAACAAAAGGUCAGUUUCUAUGGCCACUUGGUCGGUGUGAAUGCAAAUGGAAAAAAACAGUUUUGGGGGAGAGUAGUUAGUAGAACUGUUUAGAAGUGAACUGUUCCUAUAACUACGCUCCUGUUACUACUUGCUCAG
Long non-coding RNA from Etheostoma spectabile (orangethroat darter), 188 nucleotides. RefSeq lists it as uncharacterized. NCBI's taxonomy places the organism in Eukaryota, Metazoa, Chordata, Actinopteri, Perciformes, Percidae. The transcript is spliced from 3 exons. The record is from RefSeq and is a predicted model, not a curated record.